This 505-nucleotide ribosomal RNA is filed under the name uncultured bacterium. RNAcentral's name for it is "partial 16S ribosomal RNA". It matches the Rfam family "Bacterial small subunit ribosomal RNA", at positions 30 to 523 of the family's 1533-position model. The record is from RNAcentral.
AUUGAACGCUGGCGGCAGGCUUAACACAUGCAAGUCGAGCGGUAGCACAGGGGAGCUUGCUCCCUGGGUGACGAGCGGCGGACGGGUGAGUAAUGUCUGGGAAACUGCCUGAUGGAGGGGGAUAACUACUGGAAACGGUAGCUAAUACCGCAUAAUGUCGCAAGACCAAAGUGGGGACCUUCGGGCCUCACACCAUCGGAUGUGCCCAGAUGGGAUUAGCUAGUAGGUGGGGUAAUGGCUCACCUAGGCGACGAUCCCUAGCUGGUCUGAGAGGAUGACCAGCCAAACUGGAACUGAGACACGGUCCAGACUCCUACGGGAGGCAGCAGUGGGGAAUAUUGCACAAUGGGCGCAAGCCUGAUGCAGCCAUGCCGCGUGUGUGAAGAAGGCCUUAGGGUUGUAAAGCACUUUCAGCGAGGAGGAAGGGUGGUGUGUUAAUAGCACAUCACAUUGACGUUACUCGCAGAAGAAGCACCGGCUAACUCCGUGCCAGCCGCCGCAGUAA